CGCUCGCCGCCCUUGUACUUGACCGUCAGCGUAUGGCCGUCAUUGCCCGCAACCGUGCGGUCGUCGACCGCGCCGUUGGUCAUGCUGCUGUUGGGCUUCAGAUCCCACGGCGGCGUGACGUCUCCGGUGCCGCGCAUCGCUUCGGGGAAAACAUGGACCUCGACGGCUUUCUGGGUGCCGUCAGCAUCCGGCAAUGACGUAACGCCGAUGUAUGAGCCGACCUUGACGUCGGCAAGCGNNNNNCGCCGUCUGCGCCAUGUGCAGCGUCACGUCCGCGCCUUCGCGCGAUUUGACGUGAAGCGUU
Molecule: unclassified non-coding RNA, 304 nt
Filed under: Hevea brasiliensis (rubber tree)
Lineage: Eukaryota; Viridiplantae; Streptophyta; Magnoliopsida; Malpighiales; Euphorbiaceae
Source: RNAcentral